Non-coding RNA from Vicia faba (fava bean), 210 nucleotides. NCBI's taxonomy places the organism in Eukaryota, Viridiplantae, Streptophyta, Magnoliopsida, Fabales, Fabaceae. The record is from the annotation of a GenBank genome assembly.
AUGACGCCGAAGGUUGAUGAUGGAUGGCCACCUCUUGUUGCAGAUUUGAUGAAUACGAAAAUGGUUACGGCAAGUUCGUUCUUGGAAGGAGAGAGGGAGUUAUCACAGUUAGAAAAUGGUUCUGCUAUGAUAUGGUUAUUUGGUUGGUUGUGGGAGCAUAGUGCCAUGGCCUUGAUGAAAGCAAACAGAAGCGGUGAGAAGGAAACUUGA